AUUGAACGCUGGCGGCAUGCCUUACACAUGCAAGUCGAACGGCAGCGCGGGGGCAACCCUGGCGGCGAGUGGCGAACGGGUGAGUAAAAUAUCGGAACGUGCCCUAAAGUGGGGGAUAACGUAGCGAAAGUUACGCUAAUACCGCAUAAGAUCUAAGGAUGAAAGCGGGGGAUCGCAAGACCUCGUGCUUCAGGAGUGGCCGAUAACUGAUUAGCUAGUUGGUGGGGUAAAGGCUCACCAAGGCGACGAUCAGUAGCUGGUCUGAGAGGACGACCAGCCACACUGGGACUGAGACACGGCCCAGACUCCUACGGGAGGCAGCAGUGGGGAAUUUUGGACAAUGGGGGCAACCCUGAUCCAGCAAUGCCGCGUGUGUGAAGAAGGCCUUCGGGUUGUAAAGCACUUUUGUUCGGGACGAAACGGUUUGGGCAAAUACCCUGAGCUAAUGACGGUACCGAAAGAAUAAGCACCGGCUAACUACGUGCCAGCCGCCGCAGUAA
RNAcentral lists this ribosomal RNA (500 nucleotides) under uncultured bacterium. RNAcentral's name for it is "partial 16S ribosomal RNA". It matches the Rfam family "Bacterial small subunit ribosomal RNA", at positions 29 to 523 of the family's 1533-position model. The record is from RNAcentral.